GUCUAAAUCUCAUUCCAGUUUUACAUUAUUUCAUGACCUGACAGAAAAUAUUUGAGUUAUUUUGACCUCAUGUGUUUUUUUGUCCUCUGCAGUCUUGUACUCUGUCCUUCAGCCCCACUAUUAGCAGGCAGGAAGGUCCAUACGCUGUGCAGCUGGUGAUGGAAGACUUUCCCAGACAGACCAUCACACUGACUCAGACCAACGGGCUGCAGACGUUGAAAACUACCAGUGACGCCAUCAGCAAAAUACCUAUCCAGUUUGUUUUAAGGGUGGAGCCUGUGGUGCCGUCCUGCACAGAGGGACUCUAUCUGCCCAAGUUCCUGCCUCCAACCCCAGACAACAGAGCUCGGCUGUACACCAG
This 361-nucleotide long non-coding RNA is filed under the name Mastacembelus armatus (zig-zag eel). Its description in RNAcentral is "lncRNA (ENSMAMG00000025494.1)". Lineage: Eukaryota; Metazoa; Chordata; Actinopteri; Synbranchiformes; Mastacembelidae. The record is from RNAcentral.